UUGAUUGAUUUGUAUUCAAUACUCGACGCAAAGAUGCAGGGUUGGUUGGUCCUCUGGGGGACUCCCGGGCGCGGACGGCCGGGUCGCCCCCCGAGGCAACAGUUAAAAUAUCGACAAAGGGUUGGAGGUCGGGCGCGGGGGCCCUCACUCGGUAAUGAUCCCUCCGCAGGUUCACCUACGGAGA
RNAcentral lists this unclassified non-coding RNA (184 nucleotides) under uncultured fungus. Its description in RNAcentral is "sequence contains ITS1". Lineage: Eukaryota; Fungi. The record is from RNAcentral.